Molecule: long non-coding RNA, 1139 nt
Filed under: Homo sapiens (human)
Lineage: Eukaryota; Metazoa; Chordata; Mammalia; Primates; Hominidae
Description: HSALNT0147571
Source: RNAcentral
UAUUGAGAGUUAUUAUAAUAGCAAUGUGUGGAUAUUGGGUUACAAGGAGCCCUUCCCAUAAGAAUUUCUCAUAAAUCACAAAGGACACCUAUACUAAUGGAUGUCCCAGAGUGUAUGGAUGAGGGGACAUGGAAAUGAUACAUUCUAAUGAUUUUUCUCUACUUCUGGAGGUGCUGGCAGAUACCUAAAUCAUAUCAACAAGAAGUUUAUGGAAAAGAGAACUACAAUCAUCAUAAACCCAAUCAUGUUUUACUUGGUGUUGAAGGACAUUAAAAAAUACCUCCCACCUUAAUUUACUAAAUUAUCAAACAAAUCCUGUUCCCCGAUCUCAGAAGACCACCUGGCUCAGUAUCACAAAGCACCCUGAUUUCUCCCUCAUCUUGAGAUGUCAGGAUCCCUCAGAAAACUUCGUAGAGGUGCCCUGGUGGUGGCAUGCACCAAGAUCAGAUUGUUCUACCUGAGUUAAAGAUGUUCCUCCUGUUGCCUUUUGUGAAGCAGGAGAGAAUCAGAGCACCAGUGGAACAACAGCAGUGAGAAGCUCAUCAGCUUCACGAACUGACCACAGACCAAUCAGUGAAUUCCUGUCCUGCUUUCACUUUGCUUUCCGUGCUAUGUGGAAAUAAGAGCUCUCCUCAUGGGUCCAGUGUGAGGAACAGAUAGCAAGCACUGAUUGGGUGGAACCAGCCAAAGGUCAUUAUCUGAUAAAGUGGAUGGAAGUUCCAAAGAAGAGGACAGGGACUGUAAACUCUGGGCUAUUCUUUAUUCUGCAACAUUGAUUAAAAGUUGCUGUGACAGGCUCUGCCCUAGGGCUCCAGGAUACAGUGAAUAACACAGAUGUGGUGCCUACCCUCAUGAAGGUUACCUUCCAUUCAGGGAAGAGGGAUUGUCUCCUGGCUUGAUUCAGCUCUUCAGGCCCUGGAGAUGAAGUUCUGUGUCAGGCACCAAGCAUCUGUAUGCGGUAGGCAGCUGGAGGUCACUCUCUUGAUCACCUCUUGUGUGGACAAGUUUUCUUACAAGCAGAAGCCCAUCCCCAGGCAUCCUCUAGUGCUGACUGACGAGAUAGGAGCAAAACUCAUGCAACCUGCCUUUCAGAUGCAAAUAGAACAUUCCUAAGUCCUUUGAGGCACUCUGCCAAUGUG